RNAcentral lists this non-coding RNA (31 nucleotides) under Homo sapiens (human). The record is from RNAcentral. Lineage: Eukaryota; Metazoa; Chordata; Mammalia; Primates; Hominidae.
UAGCCUAUUAGCAACCUAAAUUCCACCGGCA